Non-coding RNA from Myodes glareolus (Bank vole), 601 nucleotides. NCBI's taxonomy places the organism in Eukaryota, Metazoa, Chordata, Mammalia, Rodentia, Cricetidae. The record is from RefSeq and is a predicted model, not a curated record.
GCUCUCAGCCUUUGUCCUCCUCGGUUCCUCUCACGUCUGCCUCUCUCACGCCUCUGCCUUUUCUCCCUCCCUUCAACCCCUCCUCCAGCUGACCCACGUGGGACGUUCUGGUGACAGGCCCUAGAGGAGGCGGAGGCCCGGGCGGAUCUGUCACAGCUGAGCGCAAACGGAUGCUGGGAUGCUCGUGGUGGACAGACUGCGCAUCCUGAGUAGGCCCCGACCAUAGCCCGGGCUCUGGACUCUGCCUGUCAUCCGGUCCAAGAAAUUUCAGCCCUUAUCAAGCCUCUGCUUGGCUAAUCUGACUGCUGUCAUCAGCGGAGGCCCUAUGGUGCCUACAGAAGCACAAGACACAGGAAAAGACUUCCCAAAGGAGAUCUGAGUCCUGCUAAUGCCCUUCAGAUCAUGUCUGAUUGAGUGGUGAGCAGUCCAGGCGGGCAGAUCGAGUCACUAACCACACAAGAAAUCUCGACUGCAGGAAGAAAACAGGAGAAUUUUGGAGAAAAGGCAACUCCGUUAUUCCUCCAAAAGUAUCUGAAAAUGAAAGCAGGGGAGACAAUUUCAGACAUAAUGAAGUUACAUGAAUAAAAUGGGCCUAAAUACA